RNAcentral lists this ribosomal RNA (549 nucleotides) under uncultured eukaryote. RNAcentral's name for it is "bacterial SSU rRNA". It matches the Rfam family "Eukaryotic small subunit ribosomal RNA", at positions 689 to 1250 of the family's 1831-position model. The record is from RNAcentral.
GCAUCUGGCCCUUUCAAGGGGAAGGGGGCUGCUCUUGUUUGUGUGGCGCGAGACCCUUGACUUUACCUUAAAGGAAAUAAGAGGGUUCCAGGCAGGCUCGCGCCGGGCAUGUAUCAGCAGGGAAUAAUAGAAUUGGACUUCGUUUCUACUCGGUUGGGGCAAGAAGCGAGGUAAUGAUGAAGAGGCAUAGGUGGGGGCAUUCGUAUUUAACUGUAGAUGUGAAAUUCUUGGAUUUGUUCAGACGGACUACCGCGAAACUUCUGCCUAUGUUUUUUUCGUUGAUCAGAACGAAGGUGAGGGGAUCGAAGACGAUCAAUCCCGCUCCAGUCUUACUAUAACCCUUGUUUUGCUACAGAUUGGCGGUCGUUCGAUUUCCGACUCCAUCAACAUCUUGAGAGAAAUCAAAGCCUUUGGGUUCCGGGGGGAGUAUGUAGCAAGGCUGAAACUAAGACAAAAGGACGGACGACACCAUCAGGAAGCCGCCUGUUUUUUCAUUUACUCAUCACCGAGAAGCUACCCAGGGCCGGACUUCGAACGGAUGACCAAUUG